RNAcentral lists this transfer RNA (62 nucleotides) under Lachesilla anna. RNAcentral describes it as "tRNA-Leu". The record is from RNAcentral. Lineage: Eukaryota; Metazoa; Arthropoda; Insecta; Psocodea; Lachesillidae.
UCUAAUAUGGCAGAUUAGUGCAUUGAAUUUAAGCUUCAAAUAUAAACCCAGUUUUGUUAGAA